RNAcentral lists this ribosomal RNA (433 nucleotides) under uncultured bacterium. Its description in RNAcentral is "partial 16S ribosomal RNA". It matches the Rfam family "Bacterial small subunit ribosomal RNA", at positions 29 to 507 of the family's 1533-position model. The record is from RNAcentral.
AACGAACGCUGGCGGCAUGCCUAACACAUGCAAGUCGAACGAGACCUUCGGGUCUAGUGGCGCACCGGUGCGUAACGCGUGGGAACCUGCCCUUAGGUUCGGAAUAACUCCCCGAAAGGGGUGCUAAUACCGCUUAAUGUCUUCGGACCAAAGAUUUAUCGCCUUUGGAUGGGCCCGCGUUGGAUUAGCUAGUUGGUAGGGUAAAAGCCUACCAAGGCGACGUUCCUUAGCUGGUCUGUGAGGAUGAUCAACCACACUGGAACUGAGACACGGCCCAGACUCCGACGGGAGGGAGCAGUGGGGAAUAUUGGACGAUGGGCGAAAGUCUGAUCCAGCAAUGCGGCGGGAGAGAUGAAGGCGUUAGGGUUGUAAAGCUGUUUUACCCGGGAUGAUAAUGACAGUACCGGGAGAAGAAGCUCCGGCUAACUCCGUG